This 389-nucleotide ribosomal RNA is filed under the name uncultured bacterium. RNAcentral's name for it is "bacterial SSU rRNA". It matches the Rfam family "Bacterial small subunit ribosomal RNA", at positions 29 to 414 of the family's 1533-position model. The record is from RNAcentral.
AUUGAACGCUGGCGGCAUGCCUAACACAUGCAAGUCGAACGGCAGCACAGUCGUAGCAAUACGAUGGGUGGCGAGUGGCGGACGGGUGAGGAAUGCAUCGGAAUCUGCCCGGUUGUGGGGGAUAACCAGUCGAAAGGCUGGCUAAUACCGCAUGCGACCGAGAGGUGAAAGCGGGGGACCGAAAGGCCUCGCGCGAUCGGAUGAGCCGAUGCCGGAUAGCUAGUUGGCGGGGUAAGAGCCCACCAAGGCGACGAUCCGUAGCUGGUCUGAGAGGAUGAUCAGCCACACUGGGACUGAGACACGGCCCAGACUCCUACGGGAGGCAGCAGUGGGGAAUAUUGGACAAUGGGCGCAAGCCUGAUCCAGCAAUGCCGCGUGUGUGAAGAAGG